UGCAGUCGAACGGGAAACAUUUGAUAGUAAUAUUGAAUGUUUCUAGUGGCGAAAGGGUGCGUAACACGUGGGUAAUCUACCGUAAAGUUGGGAAUAACUUCGAGAAAUCGAUGCUAAUACCGGAUGUGAUUUAUUUGGGACAUCCCGAAUAAAUUAAAGCUGGGGACCUUCGGGCCUGGCGCUUUACGAUGAGCCCGCGGCCUAUCAACUUGUUGGUAAGGUAACGGCUUACCAAGGCUAAGACGGGUAGCCGGUCUGAGAGGAUGAUCAGCCACACUGGGACUGAGACACGGCCCAGACUCCUACGGGAGGCAGCAGUGGGGAAUAUUGGACAAUGGGCGCAAGCCUGAUCCAGCCAUGCCGCGGGUGUGAUGAAGGCCCUAGGGUUGUAAAACACUUUUAUGAGGGAAGAUGAAGACGGUACCUCAAGAAUAAGCUCCGGCUAACUUCGUGCCAGCAGCCGCGGUAAUACGAAGGGAGCUAGCGUUGUUCGGAAUUACUGGGCGUAAAGCGCGCGUAGGUGGCUUGGCAAGUCAGGGGUGAAAUCCCGGAGCUCAACUCCGGAACUGCCUUUGAAACUGCCCGGCUUGAGUCUCGGGGGGGAUGGUGGAAUUUCUAAUGUAGCGGUGAAAUGCGUAGAGAUUAGAAGGAACACCGGUGGCGAAGGCGACCAUCUGGACGAGUACUGACACUGAGGUGCGAAAGCGUGGGGAGCAACCAGGAUUAGAUACCCUGGUAGUCCACGCCCUAAACGAUGGGUGCUAGCCGUCGGGACAUU
RNAcentral lists this ribosomal RNA (778 nucleotides) under uncultured marine bacterium. RNAcentral's name for it is "bacterial SSU rRNA". It matches the Rfam family "Bacterial small subunit ribosomal RNA", at positions 56 to 832 of the family's 1533-position model. The record is from RNAcentral.